UGUAAGCGUAUACCAAAGUUGUUGCAGUCAAAACGCUCGUAGUCGGAAUUUGGCAGUUCCGGAUGUGUGCACGUCGUGUGCGCACUUCGCGGGGAUUGCUUUUGUGGUCUUGCGUAGGAUGAGGCACUUUUAUUAGUGAACGUCCUCACGCAACCACUUUUUACUGUGAGAAAAUCAGAGUGCUCAAAGCAGGCAUUUGCCGUGAAUGUAUUAGCAUGGAAUAAUAGAAUAGGACUUGGUUCUAUUUUGUUGGUUUGUUGGGACUGAGUAAUGAUUAAGAGGGACAGUUGGGGGCAUUUGUAUUUCGGUGCUAGAGGUGAAAUUCUUAGAUUACCGAAAGACAAACUGCUGCGAAAGCGUCUGCCAAGGAUGUUUUCAUUGA
Molecule: ribosomal RNA, 382 nt
Filed under: uncultured eukaryote
Lineage: Eukaryota
Description: partial 18S ribosomal RNA
Rfam family: Eukaryotic small subunit ribosomal RNA
Source: RNAcentral